AUUUUCUGAAUCUUGGUUAUUCUGCUCGUUCUCCAUAUUGGUU
Molecule: small RNA, 43 nt
Filed under: Plasmodium falciparum 3D7
Lineage: Eukaryota; Apicomplexa; Aconoidasida; Haemosporida; Plasmodiidae
Description: Pfa-npcR6578
Source: RNAcentral